This is a long non-coding RNA of Saccoglossus kowalevskii, 1014 nucleotides long. Lineage: Eukaryota; Metazoa; Hemichordata; Enteropneusta; Harrimaniidae. The record is from RefSeq and is a predicted model, not a curated record.
GUUGGUCAGUAUGAUUUGAAGGUGGAACGAGGCUGUGCGUCUUUGGAACAGAACAGCACGUGGUCUGCUAACCAAUGUGACGAGUACGAUGACGUAGAUUCCUCGGAGAGCGCCUAUGUAUGUACAUGUGAUUACGAGGACAGCUGUAAUGCCGAUGACUCGGAUUAUCACCAGUGCUACUACUGUGAAACGAAAGUCAACGACUACACAUGUAAAAACGACUUAGUAAAUAACCACGAGCCAAUAGCGUGCCUCACUGGACAUUCUGGAUGUGGUACUAGAACUGUAGCCUACAACACAUGGCUGUUCACCGAUGAUGCCGAAAGAUACUGUACUGACGAAGAAACUACCGACGCCGAUGGUGAUUGCACGACCGAUAAUUCGGGAUUUGAGACCUGUCUCUACUACUGUUCCGGAAAUGCAUGCAAUGACAUUGAAAACAUCGCCAGUAGAUCCACUAUCCCAACCACAUUGAUAUUUACCUAGAUUAUAGCAUCCCUUGUACCCUGGUGAAACCACUGCUAACCUGAGCGAUAAGCGAGUAACCUUAGUCGCUCUCAACACACAGUAGCAUAGAAAAGUCGCCUGGUUAUUUCCCCCGAUUAUUUUGUACUUGUUAAUUAGUUCGACUUGUAUACAGUCUCUUUUUUAAUUCUUGGUGAUUUUUUUUCAUUUAAAUAAAAUAUUAUGGGAGCGUGUAAACGGCGAAAGCCGCGUUACCGCCGCGAAAGCCUGCUUACCGAGAAAUAAACAAAAUAACCAUAAACAUCAUGAAUGUAUAUUUCGCAGUAACCCGGCGUUCGACAUUUAUAUACUCUCAUUAACAUACAAAUCAUUAUUGUAUACUUUCGCACUUUUGUGGAUUUGGCAAUGGAUUUCUCCCUGAGACUUGAUACAUUCUUUUUUUUAUUCAUAGUCAGGUUUUUCGUGCUGAACUUCAUGCUCAAACCAAAACGAAUGUUGCAAUGAAGAUAAUGUCUGUAACUGUUCCAAUAAAGUUGUAUUGUAUGCUUA